GAACACAAAAUGGCGACACGUGGUUAGCAUUCGUCGCCAACGAGAAAUUGGGGUCGGCCCGAAAGCUCUAGAAUGCACCCCUCUUCCUCCCCGGGGCCUUCCACCUCCGCGAGUUUUAUGACUUAAAAAAGCCCACAGGCUGGUCUGAAGAGGAAGACAAACAUAAAGAUGAAGUGCUUAAUUCAAGGUCACACAAUGUCGGGGAUGGACCUCCAGAUUUCCUUACUGACCUGCAUUAUCUUGUGGAUACCUGAGUGAAUUCCACACCACCCAUUUUAUAGAUGAAACCACUGAGACAUGGAGCAAUUGACUGAGUAGUCACUGCCCCACCCCUGCCUGGAGCCUCACACAUGACUCGCCUCCUCUCAGUGACCACAGGUGAGACGUGGUCUUGUAACACAGUGGUUAAGAAUGUGACUUUGGAGCCAGCCUGCUAGGGGCUGAAUUCUGACUCAGCCAUUUACUAACUGUGUGACCUUAGGGAGGAGGACCUGGUUGAUAGAAGAAUUUAUCUCGUAGUCUUAACAUCCACUGUAAUUCCAAACUUUGAGGACGAUAGAGAUCAGUGGGCUUUGACUGCCCAGCAUGCAGUCU
This 594-nucleotide long non-coding RNA is filed under the name Homo sapiens (human). RNAcentral's name for it is "non-protein coding PCBP1-AS1:288". The record is from RNAcentral. Lineage: Eukaryota; Metazoa; Chordata; Mammalia; Primates; Hominidae.